Molecule: unclassified non-coding RNA, 412 nt
Filed under: soil metagenome
Description: partial contains 5.8S ribosomal RNA, internal transcribed spacer 2, and large subunit ribosomal RNA
Rfam family: 5.8S ribosomal RNA (bases 1-120)
Source: RNAcentral
GAUGAAGAACGUAGCGAAAUGCGAUACGUAGUGUGAAUUGCAGAAUUCCGUGAACCAUCAAAUCUUUGAACGCAUAUUGCGCUCGAGGCUUCGGCCGAGAGCAUGUCUGCCUCAGCGUCGGUAUUACCCCUCGCUUCUCAACCCCUGGUUGAUGCCUGCCUGCCUUUGCAGUUGGCUGGAAGCGGAUCUGGCUUUCCCAAUUGCCUUUGGUAGUUGGGUCAGCUGAAGCACAGAGGCUUGAGCAAGGACCCUUAUUGGGCUUCAACUGGAUAGGUAGAACUGGUCUUAGGACCAACUACACGAAGUUGUUGCUUGUGGUCUUUGUCUGGAGGCCAGCAGGAAACCUUUAUACCUUCGACCUGAGCUCAGGCAAGAUUACCCGCUGAACUUAAGCAUAUCAAUAAGCGGAGGA